UACGUAGGGGGCUAGCGUUAUCCGGAAUUACUGGGCGUAAAGGGUGCGUAGGUGGUUUCUUAAGUCAGAGGUGAAAGGCUACGGCUCAACCGUAGUAAGCCUUUGAAACUGGGAAACUUGAGUGCAGGAGAGGAGAGUGGAAUUCCUAGUGUAGCGGUGAAAUGCGUAGAUAUUAGGAGGAACACCAGUUGCGAAGGCGGCUCUCUGGACUGUAACUGACACUGAGGCACGAAAGCGUGGGGAGCAAACAGGAUUAGAUACCCCUGUAGUCCCUGAGCGGG
This 281-nucleotide ribosomal RNA is filed under the name uncultured prokaryote. RNAcentral's name for it is "partial 16S ribosomal RNA". It matches the Rfam family "Bacterial small subunit ribosomal RNA", at positions 524 to 803 of the family's 1533-position model. The record is from RNAcentral.